UUUCCUUAGGUGAACCUACGAAAGGAUCAUUGUCGAACCCUGCAUAGCAGAACAACCCGCGAACACGUUGAAAAACACAUUUGGGGGAUGCAUGCACGGGACAAGGCGACAGCCCCCCAUGCAUGCAACCCCUUCCUUGUGGUGCCGGUGCAAUUCUCGCCAAGGAAAACUUUAAACUCAAGAGCGUGCUCUCCUCACGUUGCCCCCGUUUGCGGGUGCGCGACUGGGUGUUUGCCCACUCCUUAGUGAAAACAUAAAUGACUCUUGCCAACGGAUAUCUCGGCUCUC
RNAcentral lists this unclassified non-coding RNA (288 nucleotides) under root metagenome. Its description in RNAcentral is "partial contains small subunit ribosomal RNA, internal transcribed spacer 1, and 5.8S ribosomal RNA". The record is from RNAcentral.